This 1032-nucleotide ribosomal RNA is filed under the name Triticum aestivum (bread wheat). RNAcentral's name for it is "partial small subunit ribosomal RNA". Lineage: Eukaryota; Viridiplantae; Streptophyta; Magnoliopsida; Poales; Poaceae. The record is from RNAcentral.
AUGGAGAGCGUGGAUGAAAAUGGAGGAAGCCGCCUUGUGGUGACCGAGCUGGGCUACAUCAAGGAGCUGGUGAGGCAGCUGGACGUCAACCUGGGAGGCUGCCCCGACCACUGCAAGCGCCUGGCCGCCCAGAUCUUCGCCGUGACCGAGAGGUCCAUCGGCAUGAUCAGGUCCGGCCACUUCGACUGCCGGAAGCGCUCCGCCGCCGGCCUCGACUCGCCGCCGUUCUCCGCGACGCCCAGCCCCCUGAGCGACGUCUCCGGCGUGCCUUUCCAUGCCAACAACAAGAAGAGGAAGACAAUGGAGAAACGGAAACAUCAGGUCAGGGUGAGCUCGGAGGGAGCAGGAGCGGAGACCCCAGUCGACGACGGCCACAGCUGGAGGAAGUACGGCCAGAAGGACAUUCUUGGAGCCAAGCACCCAAGGGGGUACUACCGCUGCACGCACCGCAAAUCCCAGGGGUGCGCGGCGACCAAGCAGGUGCAGCGCGCCGACGAGGACCCGGCGCUCUUCGACGUGAUCUACCACGGCGAGCACACCUGCGUUCACAAGACGGUGGCCGCCGCGGCGGCCAUGGUGCAGCCGGCGGAGGAGAACCCGGACGCUCGUAGGCAUCUGCAGAACCUGAGCACGAGCCUGACAGUGAACACCGAGGGGCUCACGGCGACGACGGGUCAUCAGGGCUGCGGCACCACCACGUCCUUCUGCUUCUCCUCGCAGGCGGUGAGCGCGCUGACGACGCCGCAAGAGCACUACCCGUUCUCCAUGCCGUCGACGCCGGAGAACUGCUUUGGACAGGGCGCGUCGCUGUCGACGUCCCUUGAACCCUCGCCGGUAACCUCGGACUCGAACCGCUUCUCCAUGAACCCGUUCCAGGCGGAGUGGAGGGCGCAGUCUGAGUACGACGAGGUGGUGUCCGCGCUCGUGGCCGCGGGGACGAUGCCGGCGCUCGCCAUGGAGAUGGAGGAGAACGCCUUCUCGAUGGACGGGUUUGAGUUCGACGUUUCUUGCUUCUUUGCAUCAGACGAUUGA